Molecule: ribosomal RNA, 496 nt
Filed under: uncultured bacterium
Lineage: Bacteria
Description: partial 16S ribosomal RNA
Rfam family: Bacterial small subunit ribosomal RNA
Source: RNAcentral
AUGAACGCUGGCGGCGUGCCUAAUACAUGCAAGUCGAGCGAACGGACGAGAAGCUUGCUUCUCUGAUGUUAGCGGCGGACGGGUGAGUAACACGUGGAUAACCUACCUAUACGACUGGGAUAACUUCGGGAAACCGGAGCUAAUACCGGAUAAUAUUUUGAACCGCAUGGUUCAAAAGUGAAAGACGGUCUUGCUGUCACUUAUAGAUGGAUCCGCGCUGCAUUAGCUAGUUGGUAAGGUAACGGCUUACCAAGGCAACGAUGCAUAGCCGACCUGAGAGGGGGAUCGGCCACACUGGAACUGAGACACGGUCCAGACUCCUACGGGAGGCAGCAGUAGGGAAUCUUCCGCAAUGGGCGAAAGCCUGACGGAGCAACGCCGCGUGAGUGAUGAAGGUCUUCGGAUCGUAAAACUCUGUUAUUAGGGAAGAACAUAUGUGUAAGUAACUGUGCACAUCUUGACGGUACCUAAUCAGAAAGCCACGGCUAACUACGUG